This 474-nucleotide ribosomal RNA is filed under the name Pseudoalteromonas sp. EF1B-B175. Its description in RNAcentral is "bacterial SSU rRNA". It matches the Rfam family "Bacterial small subunit ribosomal RNA", at positions 9 to 481 of the family's 1533-position model. The record is from RNAcentral. Lineage: Bacteria; Pseudomonadati; Pseudomonadota; Gammaproteobacteria; Alteromonadales; Pseudoalteromonadaceae.
GAGUUUGAUCCUGGCUCAGAUUGAACGCUGGCGGCAGGCCUAACACAUGCAAGUCGAGCGGUAACAUUUCUAGCUUGCUAGAAGAUGACGAGCGGCGGACGGGUGAGUAAUGCUUGGGAACAUGCCUUUAGGUGGGGGACAACCAUUGGAAACGAUGGCUAAUACCGCAUAAUGUCUACGGACCAAAGGGGGCUUCGGCUCUCGCCUUUAGAUUGGCCCAAGUGGGAUUAGCUAGUUGGUGAGGUAAUGGCUCACCAAGGCAACGAUCCCUAGCUGGUUUGAGAGGAUGAUCAGCCACACUGGAACUGAGACACGGUCCAGACUCCUACGGGAGGCAGCAGUGGGGAAUAUUGCACAAUGGGCGCAAGCCUGAUGCAGCCAUGCCGCGUGUGUGAAGAAGGCCUUCGGGUUGUAAAGCACUUUCAGUUGUGAGGAAAGGUUAGUAGUUAAUACCUGCUAGCUGUGACGUAGCAA